This is a long non-coding RNA of Amphiprion ocellaris (clown anemonefish), 5128 nucleotides long. RefSeq lists it as uncharacterized. NCBI's taxonomy places the organism in Eukaryota, Metazoa, Chordata, Actinopteri, Pomacentridae. The record is from RefSeq and is a predicted model, not a curated record. The transcript is spliced from 4 exons.
GUGAUUGGUCAGACCAUAGAAGACAGCGCGCUAGCGUAUCUAGUCUUCUAUAUAUAUCUAUGGUCGGCACGUCUGGUAGCAUCUGUGGCUGCUGUUGACCUUGUUUUUGGAGUAAAACACGGUGGAAGCUGAAUUAGUGAUGAUGACUCCUGCUCCUGUCAUCUCUAAGCUCCUCACACAUCUUUACCUGCACAUGAGGAAAAUCACUCCUGUAGAAUGCAAAUGUUCAGAGGGAGAUGAUGCCACAUCUGGUCCAGCUGAUGGAAGGUCUUGAAGUUCUCUGACUGGCCUCGACUGAAGAUGGUCGUCUCACUGGAUUUAAGGUUCAGAUGCUCAGUAACAAACUCCACCAAUGUGCCAACAGGGAAGCUUUAGGUUUAUUAAAUGUUGCUAUGAAGGUAUCGCUGUUUUUCUUUGUGAAUGCAAUGUGCUCCAACUGAAACUUGAAUUAGAACUUAGAAGUAAAUCCUUCCAUCUGAAAGGAUUUAGUUGCAUUAAUAACCUCAUAACAUUCAAAUUUUUAUUCCAGUCUUGGUUGAAAAUAGAAUCUCUGCAUUGAUUCAGGUAAAAACUGAACUUCACAGCAUGUUGGAGCAAAACAACCAGAUGAAAACUGUGAAGGUGUUGGAUUGUCAGAACGUAAUGUUGCAGCUCAAAGCAGCUUUUCUAUCUCAGUUCAUUCUGACAUUCAGCUAUGAAUCAACACAGCAGAUGGUGAUCCAUGCUGUGGAAGUCUCACAUCUCCUGAUUUAAUGGAGCUGCUUUGUACUUUUUACACUGUUUAUUCACCAACACUUUAUUUAAUAAAAGUCCCAUCUAGUUUUUAUGAGGAAUGUGAUGUUUUAAUUUCUCUGUGAACAACUGCAGUCUAAUGUAACAGCUGGAGUUGUAACAUCUGUCCUGAUAUUGAUCAUGAAGUAUUGAUCAGAAUACUUAUGGUCAGCAGUCAUCCCUGAAGUUUUACAUUAAAAUCUUUACUUGUGUUGUGAACUUUGGUAAGAAGCAGAAAUGUUAGCGUUGCCAUGGAUACAUGAGUGUUAAAUUCUGUCCAUGUUUCCAUUUUGGGAAAUUCAGUCCAGUUCCAGAAUGUGGAGGAAUUUAGUCUCACAAUCACAGACAACAAAUAUUAUCUGAAAGUCGGGUUAUUGUUGUUUAUCAGCACAAUACAAAAAGAUUAAUGUUAGAAAUAUCCCAGUUAAGACCCUAGAAUAUCAUGAUUUAUGUAAAUUUACCUCAAUAAUAUGAAUGUUCAGGUUAAGAUUGUGCAGUGAUAUUUAUUAUGUAAGUUUAGCUGAUUAAAGUUUAUGACUCUGCACUACAAUAUUAUUUAUUAUUUAGAUUUACAUCAUUAUAAUAUUUAGGGUCAGACCCUACAGUAUUGAGAUUAAGAAAUUAAAUAUUCUAUAAAAUGUAAAUACACUGAACUCAUUUGGAUAUAUUUAAGUGAGACUCUACAAUAUUAUUUGACACAAAUCUAUCUAAAUCAAAAUUUUAAUAAUUUUCACGCCAAACAUUUACUGGACUGAUUUAAAUAUUAAAAUCACUCCUUUCUAAUCCUCUGCUGUACGUUCAAACCUGAGGCCUUAAAUAGAAACACACAAGUAUCUGAUUGAAGGAACUUCUGCAGAGUCCUGGUUCCAGAACAUGAUGAUAGAAUUAUAGACAAACUUUAACAAAAGCUGCCUGAGAGUUUACAGGUUUUUAUGUUGGAUUUCUUCAGUAAUUUAAUGAGUUAUCAGCAAAAAUCAAGUGUUCAUUUGAUGAACUUCAUUUCCUAAAACAUCCAGAAUUGGAGCUCAUGUCUUUGGCAGCUGUAAAGUUUCUGCUCCUUCAAAGUUCACAACACAAUGAAUGAAUUCCUAAAACACUCUCUGCUGCAGAGUGUUUGUGAUGCUGAAGCAGUGACCAGUUUUUCUGUUUCUUCUCUGGAGAUGCACAAUGAGGGACGUCUGCAGCAACUGAGAAAGAGUCUCACCACAUCCUGACAUGAGGAAAAAGACUUUAUUGAAGACUACAAUAAGAAAAACUAUCAGACAGCAGACGGCUGCAUUCAAGGCAACAGGAGGAGUCCUACAAGGACGAGCCGGUUCACCUGAUGGCGGCCAGUCGCUGCGGUUCAAAGCCAACACCGACUACGUGGACUUCUACUGGACCACACGGAGGCCUUCAAACCGGACCAACAAGUUCAGCGACUCCCCGACUUGUGGGUCUGAGGACGCCGCCGAGCCUCGGCCCAGCCGGCCUCCUGUCUGUGGGUGUUUGAGUGCUGAGAGGUUUGUGGAUGCAUGUGAACAUGUCUGUGUUGAAACAGCAGCUUUUGACUCAGUAACGCUGGUAAAAACCAAGAGCUCCUUUAUUUGUGACUUCCACUAAAAAAACUGAAGAAAAUAAGUUUGCCAGGGUUCUGACUGAUAACAGAUUAUUAAAUAAUGAAAAUAAUCAUUUAAAUAUUCCUUUAAACAAUCCUUUUAGGUCUACAUUUCCUUUACACUGACUUCUUGAUAUAUGUACAAGUAUUUUGGGUGGAAUAUACCAUUAAGCCCGAUGUUCAAGGGUUCUUCUGGGAAUAUACCAUUAAACCAACCUUUUAGGUAAAUGUUCCAGGAUGUUGGGUAGAAUAUACCAUCAGAUCAACCUUUUAGGUCUACAUUGGAAGAUUUUAGAGUAGAAUAUUACUCCAAACCAUCCUUUAGGUCUACAUUUAAGGUGGAAUACUCCUUUACACCAAGAUUUUUUGGUCUACAUUGAAGGAUUUUAGGUGGAAUAUUCCUUUGAAUGAACUUUUUAAGUUUAUGUUCAAGGAUGUUGGGUGGAAUAUACCAUCAGACCCACCUCCAAGGUCUACAGUAGUGAAUUUUAGGUGGAACAUACCAUUAAACUCACCUUUUAGGUCUACAUUGGAGGAUGUUUAGGAUGGUAUAUUCUUCCAAACCAACUUCUCAGGUCUACAUUUCAGGUGGAAUAUUCCUCCAUACUAACUUUUUUGGUCUACAUUGAAGGAUUUUUUUCUAAACAACCCUUUCGGGUCUAUAUUUGAGGUUUUAGGUGGAAUAUUCCUUUUAACUAGCCCCUCAGGUCUCUUUGAGGAUUUUGGAUGGAAUACUCAGUUAAACCAACAUUUUAGGUGCAUGGCCAAGGAUUUUUGGUGGAAUGUUCCUUUAAGGUGGAUGUGUGAGGACCUUGUAGGUGGAAUACUUCCUGAAACCAACCUUUUAGGUCAACAUUCAAAGAUUUAAGUUGGAAUAUUCCUUUAAACCAACCUAAAUUUCAUGUUUUGAUCAUUAUCAAGUGAGAAACCUCAAUCCAGACUCCUCAUAAUGAUGUUUGAGAUUUAUGCUGCUGUUAUUUGUUUAGUCCAGACUAAAUGACAGAAAUCCACAACUGUAAUUUUAUUUCAGGACUCCGUUAUUAAAUGUCAAAACAAUCCAUGCGACUCUAAAAACUCAACAGCUGUACAAACUCUAAGGAUUUAAACUCUCCACAAGGAUCCAAAAUAAGUUGGACUUCUACAUGAGAGCUUUAAUUAUUCUUCAUCUACUUCCUGAAAAGUUUGGUCAAUGAAAAAAGACAAAAACUAAUAUUUUCAGCUGAACUAAAGACAGACUUUGUGAUUUUUCUGCUCACAUGUUGUGUUGUUGUAAACUUCCUCUUUCAAAUAAAUAGCCGCCUAACCCCCUGGAAACCAGCGUUUGUCCUGUUUUUGUGUUGCUCCUCAGCGACCCUAGACAGCCGGGUCGUAAUGUCUUUUGAGCAACACACCAUACUAUGACGUUUUUACAAUGAUGGUUCUACUAUGGAACCAGUUUGACAUGUUCAGGUGCUCUUUGUGUGAAAACUCAGAGAUUUCAGGUAUCAGAAGGUGGUUUUCAGCUUUCUUUGUUAACUUUCUGCUUCAACUUUAAACUAAAUUUCCUUCACUAACCCAGCCCUCUGGACUUCCAGUAAGCUGUGUUCCUAUUGGCUGUCCAGGUGGCUGCUUGGUGUUAUCAGGAACACCUGAGCAGCUCAGUGUCUUCCUGCUUUAUUUAGCUGCAGCCAAACAUUUCCUCUGCUUCUCUUCACCACAGAACCGGGUUUGGCUCCGUUGCUUUAGUUUGUUUAGGCGUUGGCUUGCAGCUUCCAGCAGUAAAAUCGUCUUUAAUGUGUUUCUUGGUGUGUUUUAGGGCUUUGUACUGGAUAGUUGUCUUGGUAAAUGAGGUUCUUUAGCCACAGUUAGCACAUGGUGCUAAUGUGUGCAGUGAUUAGUGGAUUUGGUGCACCUGAGUUGUGUUUUUGUCUUGGCUGUAGCGAGUCUUUCAAGGUUUUUGGUCAGACACAUUCUGUAUUCUUGUUUGAGAACCAACGUUGGUUGUCCAGAAGGUAAGAGUUCCUGACCUGAUUCUCUGUUCUCAGAGGUUCUCUGUAGGCUGCAGGAGACUUUAGCAUUUGGGUUGUGCUAGUCUGGUUUUUGUAUGGUUUCAUUUGGACGACUAUCUUGAGGCCCCUCCAUGUGGUUUAGUGAGGUUUUCUGGAACAGUUCUACAAAGCAACCUGCAGCAGAAGAGACUUUGAGAGUUUUUAGGAAGUUCUGGAGACCAGACUUUAGAGCAGCAGAGACAUUUGUCAGCAGUUUGAGCAGGAGAAGGUGAGCUUCAGAGUAGAAAUGAGACGGAAACCUUCUUGACCCGUGUGGUGAGGUCCUGUACUGAGAGUUUGAGCAGGUUGUGAAGAGUCUGUAGUUCUUUGGUCUGAAAGCACAAGAAGAGUCGACUCAUGAAAGGAGAAAACAGGAGAUAGUUGGUUCUUCUGUCGCUCUGCAGUUUCCUUAGACUGAAUAUCAAGUUUAUAUUUUAAAUGAUUUACCAUGUGAGCCCAAGAAGACUUCAAUAAACUCCCUCCAUCCCCUGGACACAACAUAUUUUAUUACCAUGUUAAAUCUUUUUUUAAAAAUGUUUUUGAGUUUUAAUCAUAGUUUUAGCAUAGUUUUUUUCUCUUUGCUUGUUUAGUUUUGUCAUCUGUGUAAAAGGUGCUAAACAAAUAAAGUUGAAUUGAUAAACUGAAUAAUUGACUAACUCAUGAUUGUGACAACAGAAGUAUUUUCAUUGUGAUUUAAGGGUUUAUUUCAUUUUUAAGGUUGGGGUUAAAAUCU